Oncorhynchus kisutch (coho salmon) is the source of this 1837-nucleotide long non-coding RNA. Lineage: Eukaryota; Metazoa; Chordata; Actinopteri; Salmoniformes; Salmonidae. The record is from Ensembl.
GAGGGGGUAUGGAGAAGAAAAUAAACUGAACUAGCCAGACUAGUUACCAUCAUUUUCUCACAUUGCCAUUGACAGUUUUUUAUAUUGUCUCUUUUUGGUCCAUUUAGAUUGUUAUUGUAGAUUGUAUACAAAGACAUUUUAAAAAUUGUCAUAUCAGAGAGCACACAAUGUUUCAAUAUAUCACUUUUUUCCUAAAGGUCAGUAUCCUGUCUAGCAUGCCAGAAGUUUGAGAAGGCAAAGACUGGCACCGGAGUUGAAGCCCAUCAAAGUUGUUUCAACAUGGCACAUGAUCGGUAAGUGAUCCAAUUAAAAUUUUGCCCUGAUAAGUUGUUUUGUAAUGGUUACUUUAUUUGGCAGUUCAAUAUCAUAGAAUGUGUGUGUCAGUAUCCUUACAAUUACAAAAAUCUGCACACUGUAUGACAGAUAUGGGUAAGAAUAAGGUCAUCUUCUCUCUAACAUUUUAAAUGUUAGGGGUGGACCUCAUCGGACCCUUCACGAAAUCCAGGAAUGGCAUCAGCUGGUGUCUGACGGUGACCGAUCACUUUACCAAGUCAGUGGAGGCGAUACCCAUUAAGGUCAGUAAAGGAAGAGUACGUGCUUAACUCUCAAUUCCCUUCUGUAACCCAUUAAAAAGGGUGCUUGAAACCAAAAAUACAUUUUUGUUUUGUAUGAUACCCAUCAAGGACGAGACUAGCGAGGCCACCUCCAAGGCGAUGGUGGACACCCACAGUUCUCCUGAGGUCAUGACUUUGGUCUCCUGACUGAGGUCAUGAACGGUGGAACAAGGUUUGGGAAAUGGACCAACCAGACCCUCAAGACUGCCAUGGGCAAGCCCCUUGAUACCAGGAAGGGUGGGAGAACAACCUGAAGGUAAUUCUCUUUGCACACAACAGCAGACGGGAGCCGCAGCUGUUGACUGAGGUAAACAAUGCAAUUGUAUAUACAAUUAUUGCAUAUACUGUAGUAUUUCAAAUUUGUGGUUGACUUAGUGUUGUUGUUUGUCUAUUGCUAUUUUUGUAUAACGAUCUUUCAGACCACUGAAACCCCACCUGAAGUGGGGGAAGUUGUCAAACCAGAUCAGAACGCCUUCGAGGACCACCUUCAGGCACGGACUGAGAAGGAAGUGGAGGUUUUUGACCAGCAGCUAGAGGUUCUGCCCAACACCCAGACGUGGACCCACCUGAUGUCCCCCAUUACCAACCAUCCUCCAACUUUUCUUUACAUCAUCUACACUGUUGUUGUCAUUAUCCGCUAAGAAAGUUUCCUUGCUCUAUCAUACUGGACACAUAAUAUGUGAGAUACACAGAUGAACUAAAAACACUAGCACUGUAAACACACAGAACAAAGAGAGCAGCAGUGCCUGGACUUUGCCGUCUCCCUCUUCAAGUCCCCCUUCUGAGACUGGCUGCCUGUUGAGAACAAGUCACAGACAGAAUUCCACACACCAGAAUUCAGUAUUUUAGUCUAUGAUUGCCAUAUAAGUGUACAGAAAAUCUGUGAAAAUAAAUGAAUGACACAACUGUACCAAAAACUAUCAAAGUUUGUAUUCAAAUCUUAAAUAUUGCCAGGUUGGUUUUCACAGCUGUUUCACAAGGUGUUCAUUAUUGUAAGCUGUAAGGUAUCCUUUGAUGGUAUUUAUUUGUUCUACAUUAUUCAUUGUUGUAUCCUAGGACAAUACAAUAGAUGGAAGGAAAAAAAAGGAUCAUAAUAGAGGACUACGGAAAUGAUAUUAUUUCAGCGUAGAUAGGGGAAGUGUAGGUUAAAAUAAAACAUGACAGCCAGACAAGCCAGUGUAAUGAAUCAAACGGAUUUGCAUAUGAAUGGAGUGGAUAUUAGC